GGGACACGUGGUAUCCUGUCUGAAUAUGGGGGGACCAUCCUCCAAGGCUAAAUACUCCUGACUGACCGAUAGUGAACCAGUACCGUGAGGGAAAGGCGAAAAGAACCCCGGCGAGGGGAGUGAAAAAGAACCUGAAACCGUGUACGUACAAGCAGUGGGAGCCUCUUAAUGGGGUGACUGCGUACCUUUUGUAUAAUGGGUCAGCGACUUAUAUUCUGUAGCAAGGUUAACCGAAUAGGGGAGCCGAAGGGAAACCGAGUCUUAACUGGGCGUUAAGUUGCAGGGUAUAGACCCGAAACCCGGUGAUCUAGCCAUGGGCAGGUUGAAGGUUGGGUAACACUAACUGGAGGACCGAACCGACUAAUGUUGAAAAAUUAGCGGAUGACUUGUGGCUGGGGGUGAAAGGCCAAUCAAACCGGGAGAUAGCUGGUUCUCCCCGAAAGCUAUUUAGGUAGCGCCUCGUGAAUUCAUCUCCGGGGGUAGAGCACUGUUUCGGCAAGGGGGUCAUCCCGACUUACCAACCCGAUGCAAACUGCGAAUACCGGAGAAUGUUAUCACGGGAG
Molecule: ribosomal RNA, 563 nt
Filed under: Escherichia coli
Lineage: Bacteria; Pseudomonadati; Pseudomonadota; Gammaproteobacteria; Enterobacterales; Enterobacteriaceae
Description: partial 23S ribosomal RNA
Rfam family: Bacterial large subunit ribosomal RNA
Source: RNAcentral